This 330-nucleotide ribosomal RNA is filed under the name uncultured bacterium. RNAcentral's name for it is "bacterial SSU rRNA". It matches the Rfam family "Bacterial small subunit ribosomal RNA", at positions 568 to 898 of the family's 1533-position model. The record is from RNAcentral.
CGCGUAGGCGGCCGGUCAAGUGCGGCGUGAAAGUCCUGGGCUCAACCUGGGGACGGCGCUGCGGACUGUUCGGCUGGAGUCCGGAAGAGGGUGGUGGAAUUCCGAGUGUAGAGGUGAAAUUCGUAGAUAUUCGGAGGAACACCGGUGGCGAAGGCGGCCACCUGGUCCGGUACUGACGCUGAAGCGCGAAAGCGUGGGGAGCAAACAGGAUUAGAUACCCUGGUAGUCCACGCCGUAAACGAUGGGUGCUAGAUGUCGGGGGGCUUGCCCUUCGGUGUCGUAGCCAACGCGUUAAGCACCCCGCCUGGGGAGUACGGCCGCAAGGUUAAA